UUUGACAAGAUGUGACAAUUUGAAGGGGCACACGGACCUUUGUUUUUUGUAUACCUUGUACAUAGUUCUCAAAAAGGGUUAGGUAAAAAAAAAAAAAAAAAACGCAAGGGAAAAGAAGCUAAAACUGGUUCAGGAUGAGCCAUUUAUUUAUCAGGUCAAAGGUUAACACUCGGGUUUCAAUCUUUUUGUUGUGUUGUGAACUAAUUGAGUGCUGUAAAUGCUUGAAAAUGCAUACCACAAUGUGGGGCGCUUGCAUUGUUCUGUGGUGUUAACUUUCCUGCUUUCUCAAUACCACAGCAAUAAGAGCAUUUCACUCCCCUUUUCUUCAUGUGGAUAUGAUGCUUAUUUCAUUUAAAAAAUGAUUUAUAUUUUGAUGAUGUCAAA
Molecule: long non-coding RNA, 384 nt
Organism: Neltuma alba
Lineage: Eukaryota; Viridiplantae; Streptophyta; Magnoliopsida; Fabales; Fabaceae
Exons: 2
Source: RefSeq, a predicted model, not a curated record